GAUGAACGCUGGCGGCGUGCCUAAUACAUGCAAGUCGAGCGAACAGACGAGGAGCUUGCUCCUUUGACGUUAGCGGCGGACGGGUGAGUAACACGUAGGUAACCUACCUAUAAGACUGGGAUAACUUCGGGAAACCGGAGCUAAUACCGGAUAAUAUUUCGAACCGCAUGGUUCGAUAGUGAAAGAUGGCUUUUCUAUCACUUAUAGAUGGACCUGCGCCGUAUUAGCUAGUUGGUAAGGUAACGGCUUACCAAGGCAACGAUACGUAGCCGACCUGAGAGGGGGAUCGGCCACACUGGAACUGAGACACGGUCCAGACUCCUACGGGAGGCAGCAGUAGGGAAUCUUCCGCAAUGGGCGAAAGCCUGACGGAGCAACGCCGCGUGAGUGAUGAAGGUCUUCGGAUCGUAAAACUCUGUUAUUAGGGAAGAACAAACGUGUAAGUAACUGUGCACGUCUUGACGGUACCUAAUCAGAAAGCCACGGCUAACUACGUG
This 497-nucleotide ribosomal RNA is filed under the name uncultured bacterium. RNAcentral describes it as "partial 16S ribosomal RNA". It matches the Rfam family "Bacterial small subunit ribosomal RNA", at positions 28 to 507 of the family's 1533-position model. The record is from RNAcentral.